UCGGCGGGUCCGUCCGCCGUAGGAGGAGUACGACCCUGCUUCGGUACCCGAGGGAGGAGGAAAGCAGGGCGGAAGGACAUGUACAGUGUGUUUUGCUGAACAAUUUGAGAUGUCAGUUGGAUAAAUUUCUACAAGUGGACUCGCUGGAUCACGGGCUGUGCACAUGCCUGUGCCACAUGCCGCGGGACAGCUAGGCCCGGGCGCCACAACUACUGAGCUCAUGUGCCUCAACGAGAGAGCCCGCGUGCCGCAAACUACAGAGGCCACGCGCUCUGGAGCCUGCACGCCACAACUAGAGAGAGAAAAACCUGCACGUCACAACUAGAGAGAAGCCUGUGCACCGCAACGAAAGAUGCCACAACUAAGACCCGACACAGCCAAAAAAAUAAAGAAAAUAGAUAUAGAAAAUAAAUAAAUAAAUAAAUAACAA
This is a long non-coding RNA of Physeter macrocephalus (sperm whale), 430 nucleotides long. RefSeq lists it as uncharacterized. The record is from RefSeq and is a predicted model, not a curated record. The transcript is spliced from 2 exons. Lineage: Eukaryota; Metazoa; Chordata; Mammalia; Artiodactyla; Physeteridae.